RNAcentral lists this ribosomal RNA (253 nucleotides) under uncultured bacterium. RNAcentral's name for it is "partial 16S ribosomal RNA". It matches the Rfam family "Bacterial small subunit ribosomal RNA", at positions 524 to 776 of the family's 1533-position model. The record is from RNAcentral.
UACGAAGGGGGCUAGCGUUGUUCGGAAUUACUGGGCGUAAAGCGCACGUAGGCGGAUACUUAAGUUAGGGGUGAAAUCCCGGGGCUCAACCCCGGAACUGCCUUUAAUACUGGGUAUCUCGAGUUCGAGAGAGGUGAGUGGAAUUCCGAGUGUAGAGGUGAAAUUCGUAGAUAUUGGGAAGAACACCGGUGGCGAAGGCGGCUCACUGGCCCGUAACUGACGCUCAGGCGCGAUAGCGUGGGGAUCAAACAGG